RNAcentral lists this ribosomal RNA (881 nucleotides) under Laccaria cf. laccata C KH-2011. RNAcentral describes it as "LSU rRNA". It matches the Rfam family "Eukaryotic large subunit ribosomal RNA", at positions 71 to 936 of the family's 3401-position model. Lineage: Eukaryota; Fungi; Basidiomycota; Agaricomycetes; Agaricales; Hydnangiaceae. The record is from RNAcentral.
AGGAUUCCCCUAGUAACUGCGAGUGAAGCGGGAAAAGCUCAAAUUUAAAAUCUGGCAGUCUUUGGCUGUCCGAGUUGUAAUCUAGAGAAGUAUUAUCCGCGCUGGACCGUGUACAAGUCUCCUGGAAUGGAGCGUCAUAGAGGGUGAGAAUCCCGUCUUUGACACGGAUUGCCAGGGCUUUGUGAUGUGCUCUCGAAGAGUCGAGUUGUUUGGGAAUGCAGCUCAAAAUGGGUGGUAAAUUCCAUCUAAAGCUAAAUAUUGGCGAGAGACCGAUAGCGAACAAGUACCGUGAGGGAAAGAUGAAAAGAACUUUGGAAAGAGAGUUAAACAGUACGUGAAAUUGCUGAAAGGGAAACGCUUGAAGUCAGUCGCGUUGGCCAGGGAUCAACCUUGCUUUUUUGCUUGGCUUACUUUCUGGUCGAUGGGUCAGCAUCAAUUUUGACUGGUGGAAAAAGUUCAAGGGAAUGUGGCAUCUUCGGAUGUGUUAUAGCCUUUGUUCAUAUAUAUCAGUUGGGAUUGAGGAACUCAGCACGCCGCAAGGCCGGGUUUUUAACCACGUACGUGCUUAGGAUGCUGGCAUAAUGGCUUUAAUCGACCCGUCUUGAAACACGGACCAAGGAGUCUAACAUGCCUGCGAGUGUUUGGGUGAAAAACCCGAGCGCGUAAUGAAAGUGAAAGUUGAGAUCCCUGUCGUGGGGAGCAUUGACGCCCGGAUCUGACCUUUUGUGACGAUUCUGCGGUAGAGCAUGUAUGUUGGGACCCGAAAGAUGGUGAACUAUGCCUGAAUAGGGUGAAGCCAGAGGAAACUCUGGUGGAGGCUCGUAGCGAUUCUGACGUGCAAAUCGAUCGUCAAAUUUGGGUAUAGGGGCGAAAGACUAAUC